AUUGAACGCUGGCGGCAGGCUUAACACAUGCAAGUCGAGCGGGGAAAGGUAGCUUGCUACCUGACCUAGCGGCGGACGGGUGAGUAAUGCUUAGGAAUCUGCCUAUUAGUGGGGGACAACAUUCCGAAAGGAAUGCUAAUACCGCAUACGCCCUACGGGGGAAAGCAGGGGAUCUUCGGACCUUGCGCUAAUAGAUGAGCCUAAGUCAGAUUAGCUAGUUGGUGGGGUAAAGGCCUACCAAGGCGACGAUCUGUAGCGGGUCUGAGAGGAUGAUCCGCCACACUGGGACUGAAACACGGCCCAGACUCCUACGGGAGGCAGCAGUGGGGAAUAUUGGACAAUGGGCGCAAGCCUGAUCCAGCCAUGCCGCGUGUGUGAAGAAGGCCUUUUGGUUGUAAAGCACUUUAAGCGAGGAGGAGGCUACUUGGAUUAAUACUCUAGGAUAGUGGACGUUACUCGCAGAAUAAGCACCGGCUAACUCUGUGCCAGCAGCCGCGGUAAUACAGAGGGUGCGAGCGUUAGUCGGAUUUACUGGGCGUAAAGCGUGCGUAGGCGGCUUUUUAAGUCGGAUGUGAAAUCCCUGAGCUUAACUUAGGAAUUGCAUUCGAUACUGGGAAGCUAGAGUAUGGGAGAGGAUGGUAGAAUUCCAGGUGUAGCGGUGAAAUGCGUAGAGAUCUGGAGGAAUACCGAUGGCGAAGGCAGCCAUCUGGCCUAAUACUGACGCUGAGGUACGAAAGCAUGGGGAGCAAACAGGAUUAGAUACCCUGGUAGUCCAUGCCGUAAACGAUGUCUACUAGCCGUUGGGGCCUUUGAGGCUUUAGUGGCGCAGCUAACGCGAUAAGUAGACCGCCUGGGGAGUACGGUCGCAAGACUAAAACUCAAAUGAAUUGACGGGGGCCCGCACAAGCGGUGGAGCAUGUGGUUUAAUUCGAUGCAACGCGAAGAACCUUACCUGGUCUUGACAUAGUAAGAACUUUCCAGAGAUGGAUUGGUGCCUUCGGGAACUUACAUACAGGUGCUGCAUGGCUGUCGUCAGCUCGUGUCGUGAGAUGUUGGGUUAAGUCCCGCAACGAGCGCAACCCUUUUCCUUAUUUGCCAGCGGGUUAAGCCGGGAACUUUAAGGAUACUGCCAGUGACAAACUGGAGGAAGGCGGGGACGACGUCAAGUCAUCAUGGCCCCUACGACCAGGGCUACACACGUGCUACAAUGGUCGGUACAAAGGGUUGCUACCUAGCGAUAGGAUGCUAAUCUCAAAAAGCCGAUCGUAGUCCGGAUUGGAGUCUGCAACUCGACUCCAUGAAGUCGGAAUCGCUAGUAAUCGCGGAUCAGAAUGCCGCGGUGAAUACGUUCCCGGGCCU
RNAcentral lists this ribosomal RNA (1359 nucleotides) under uncultured bacterium. RNAcentral describes it as "bacterial SSU rRNA". It matches the Rfam family "Bacterial small subunit ribosomal RNA", at positions 28 to 1381 of the family's 1533-position model. The record is from RNAcentral.